RNAcentral lists this ribosomal RNA (429 nucleotides) under Actinomycetes bacterium. Its description in RNAcentral is "Actinobacteria bacterium partial 16S ribosomal RNA". It matches the Rfam family "Bacterial small subunit ribosomal RNA", at positions 355 to 776 of the family's 1533-position model. The record is from RNAcentral. Lineage: Bacteria; Bacillati; Actinomycetota; Actinomycetes.
UAGGGAAUCUUCCGCAAUGGGCGAAAGCUUGACGGAGCAACGCCGCGUGAGUGAUGAAGGUCUUCGGAUCGUAAAACUCUGUUAUUAGGGAAGAACAAAUGUGUAAGUAACUAUGCACGUCUUGACGGUACCUAAUCAGAAAGCCACGGCUAACUACGUGCCAGCAGCCGCGGUAAUACGUAGGUGGCAAGCGUUAUCUGGAAUUAUUGGGCGUAAAGCGCGCGUAGGCGGUUUUUUAAGUCUGAUGUGAAAGCUCACGGGUCAACCGUGGAGGGUCAUUGGAAACUGGAAAACUUGAGUGGAGGAGGGGAAAGUGGGAUUCCAUGUGUAGCGGUGAAAUGCGCAGAGUUAUGGGGGGACAACAGUGGCGAAGGCGACUUUCUGGUCUGUAACUGACGCUGGUGUGCGGAAGCGUGGGGAUCAAACAGG